This is a ribosomal RNA of 493 nucleotides. It matches the Rfam family "Bacterial small subunit ribosomal RNA", at positions 373 to 877 of the family's 1533-position model.
GGGCGAAAGCCUGAUGCAGCGACGCCGCGUGGGGGAUGACGGUCUUCGGAUUGUAAACCCCUUUCAGUAGGGACGAAGCGCAAGUGACGGUACCUGCAGAAGAAGCACCGGCCAACUACGUGCCAGCAGCCGCGGUAAUACGUAGGGUGCGAGCGUUGUCCGGAAUUACUGGGCGUAAAGAGCUCGUAGGCGGUUUGUCGCGUCGUCCGUGAAAACUCGGAGCUUAACUCCGAGCUUGCGGGCGAUACGGGCAGACUUGAGUACUACAGGGGAGACUGGAAUUCCUGGUGUAGCGGUGAAAUGCGCAGAUAUCAGGAGGAACACCGGUGGCGAAGGCGGGUCUCUGGGUAGUAACUGACGCUGAGGAGCGAAAGCAUGGGUAGCGAACAGGAUUAGAUACCCUGGUAGUCCAUGCCGUAAACGGUGGGCGCUAGGUGUGGGGUCCUUCCACGGAUUCCGUGCCGUAGCUAACGCAUUAAGCGCCCCGCCUGGG